This 253-nucleotide ribosomal RNA is filed under the name uncultured bacterium. RNAcentral's name for it is "partial 16S ribosomal RNA". It matches the Rfam family "Bacterial small subunit ribosomal RNA", at positions 524 to 776 of the family's 1533-position model. The record is from RNAcentral.
UACAGAGGGGGCAAGCGUUGUUCGGAAUUACUGGGCGUAAAGGGCGCGUAGGCGGCCUGUUAAGUCGAACGUGAAAUCCCCGGACUCAACCCGGGAACUGCGUCCGAUACUGGCAGGCUUGAAUCCGGGAGAGGGAUGCGGAAUUCCCGGUGUAGAGGUGAAAUUCGUAGAUAUCGGGAGGAACACCGGUGGCGAAGGCGGCUCACUGGACUGGUAUUGACGCUGAGGUGCGAAAGCGUGGGGAGCAAACAGG